GACGAACGCUGGCGGCGUGCUUAACACAUGCAAGUCGAACGGAAAGGCCCUGCUUUUGUGGGGUUCUCGAGUGGCGAACGGGUGAGUAACACGUGAGUAACCUGCCCUUGACUUUGGGAUAACUUCAGGAAACUGGGGCUAAUACCGUAUAGGAGCUCCUGCUGCAUGGUGGGGGUUGGAAAGUCUCGGCGGUUGGGGAUGGACUGGCGGCUUAUCAGCUUGCUGGUGGGGUAGUGGCUUACCCAGGCUUUGACGGGUAGCCGGCCUGAGAGGGUGACCGGCCACAUUGGGACUGAGGUACGGCCCAGAGUCGUACGGGAGGCAGCAGGGGGGAAUAUUGCACAAUGGGAGGAAGCCUGAUGCAGCAACGCCGCGUGCGGGAUGACGGCCUUCGGGUUGUAAACCGCUUUCGCCUGUGACGAAGCGUGAGUGACGGUAAUGGGUAAAGAAGCACCGGCUAACUACGUG
RNAcentral lists this ribosomal RNA (468 nucleotides) under uncultured bacterium. RNAcentral describes it as "partial 16S ribosomal RNA". It matches the Rfam family "Bacterial small subunit ribosomal RNA", at positions 28 to 507 of the family's 1533-position model. The record is from RNAcentral.